Molecule: ribosomal RNA, 608 nt
Filed under: uncultured soil bacterium
Lineage: Bacteria
Description: bacterial SSU rRNA
Rfam family: Bacterial small subunit ribosomal RNA
Source: RNAcentral
AAUACAUGAGUAAAGUGGCGCACGGGUGAGUAACGCGUAGGUGAUCUACCUUUGUGACCGGAAUAACCAGCCGAAAGGUUGGCUAAUACUGGAUAGAGCGCAGGGCCUGUAAAGGGUUUUGCGGGAAAGGGUGGCCGUAGCAAUACGGCUAUCGCACUGGGAUGAGCCUGCGUCUCAUUAGCUAGUUGGUAGGGUAAUGGCCUACCAAGGCAAUGAUGGGUAGCUGGUCUGAGAGGACGAUCAGCCACACUGGAACUGAAACACGGUCCAGACUCCUACGGGAGGCAGCAGUGGGGAAUCUUGCGCAAUGGACGAAAGUCUGACGCAGCGACGCCGCGUGGGUGAAGAAGGCCUUCGGGUUGUAAAGCCCUGUCGAAUGGGAAAAAUGUUUGUUGGGCUAAUAUCCCAGCAGAGUGAUUGUACCAUUAGAGGAAGCACCGGCUAACUCCGUGCCAGCAGCCGCGGUAAUACGGAGGGUGCAAGCGUUGUUCGGAAUUAUUGGGCGUAAAGGGCAGGUAGGUGGUCUUGUCAGUCUACUGUGAAAUCCCAGGGCUUAACCCUGGAAGUGCGGUGGAUACUGCAAGACUAGAGUGCUGGAGGGGUGCGUG